CAGUUAUAUUUCCUUGGUGAUUAAUACGUACAUUGUAGGAGCAAAAGAAUAAAGCCAGUCCAAUGAAAGUGCAUGUGACUUGAGCUCAGAACCGAAAUGGCACUGACUGUGAAGAAAAUAGGGAAUGAUAGUGGUGGUUGGUUUGGAGGGUACUUUGCGGAGAGCCCGGAUAUGACAGUGUUGACGGUAACCCUAGCUGAAGUGAGCAGCUGCUUCUGCACCGUGCUCGUGUUAUUAUUGAUCUGGCAAAACAAAUGCGUGUAAUGCGGGAGAGCUGCUAACCUGACCCAG
Molecule: long non-coding RNA, 291 nt
Filed under: Homo sapiens (human)
Lineage: Eukaryota; Metazoa; Chordata; Mammalia; Primates; Hominidae
Description: HSALNT0215703
Source: RNAcentral